RNAcentral lists this ribosomal RNA (253 nucleotides) under uncultured Lachnospiraceae bacterium. Its description in RNAcentral is "partial 16S ribosomal RNA". It matches the Rfam family "Bacterial small subunit ribosomal RNA", at positions 524 to 776 of the family's 1533-position model. The record is from RNAcentral. Lineage: Bacteria; Bacillati; Bacillota; Clostridia; Lachnospirales; Lachnospiraceae.
UACGUAGGGGGCAAGCGUUAUCCGGAUUUACUGGGUGUAAAGGGAGCGUAGACGGUAUGGCAAGUCUGAUGUGAAAGGCCAGGGCUCAACCCUGGGACUGCAUUGGAAACUGUCGAACUAGAGUGUCGGAGAGGCAAGUGGAAUUCCUAGUGUAGCGGUGAAAUGCGUAGAUAUUAGGAGGAACACCAGUGGCGAAGGCGGCUUGCUGGACGAUGACUGACGUUGAGGCUCGAAAGCGUGGGGAGCAAACAGG